Long non-coding RNA from Equus caballus (horse), 2135 nucleotides. Lineage: Eukaryota; Metazoa; Chordata; Mammalia; Perissodactyla; Equidae. The record is from Ensembl.
GGAAGUUAGGAUCGGCUUCCCCGCCUUCCCUCCAGACUGCCUGUCUCUCCAGAAGGAAGCUUGUGUGAGGACGUGGAGCUGUAGGAGCCCUCAGCUGGGCCUCUGCUUUCUUCUCUGAGAAGCCCAGCCUGGCCCCAGGAGAAGGAGCUGGAAAACUUCAGGCCUGGCUUGGGCUGCCAUGAGGAAAGUGGAUAAGGCUGCAGCCCGGAUUGUUUCCUGGAGACGACGAUCGUGGAGAUGGUUAUGCCUGACCUUUGUACAGCACUUCACAGUUGGCACAGAGUUUCCGCAUGUGCCGUACCGUCACAACGCUGUGUUUUGGGAAGCACAGCAUAUGCUGCUUCCUACUGUGUGUCAGGCCCCAUGUGAGGUAUUGGAGUGCAGAGCUGAAUAAGACACAGUCUGGCCCUCACGGAGCCUACAGCCUGAGUGGAGGAGCCCAGGACACGAGCCCACCCCAGGAGUGGUUCUUGGCACCUCCUCCAAGAAGCCCUCACUGCUGACUCCACCACCCAGUUACUCCAUCUCCCAGAUCGCAUGGAAUCCCACGUCCAACCGCAGAAGCAUCCUUCAUCAGGCCCAUUUUCGAGCACCUGUAGUUGGCAGACCUCCAGAAUUAACACUUAUGAUAGGUCCAUGGCUCUUCACAGCUGCUGAAAAAGCCCCAUAUCCUCAGCUUGUUUCCAUCGUGGUGUGCUCCCACGAGCCCUCCCGGGCUGCUCUCCCACUGUGUCCUGCCCCACUCACCACCGACACACUGGCUUGUGCCCUGUCGUGCCUGAAGACCACCUUUCCUGGCACACCCAGGACCACCGCUGAGCCCACUGCCUGGGACACCAGGAAGGCAUCAUCUCCACCUGUAGAUGUUGGUCAAACGGCUCAGACACCUCCCCCGCCCCCUGUCUGCCCCAGAGCUGCUGGUCGGAUGUGCUCCGUGUCCUGCAUUUUAUUCGUGUUUUCCGAGCGUUAGCCCUGCUGCAUCCACGUCUCCUUCCCCACCCCCUGUCCACUGUACGCCCCACAAUGGUGAUUCUCAAGCUCCAUGUGGAGGAAAGAGCAGUGUUUUUUUGCUUAGUUUUUGUUUUUGUAAAUUUUCAAUUCAUUGCAGACUAAUGACUUUGCAAAAUAAAAUGACAUUUUUAAAAAACAAAGAUAUAUACACAACGUAAGCCUUAGUUAUUUUAUCAUUAGUUUCAAAUUGCUGUAACGAUCUGUAAACCCUUACUCUUGGCUUCUGUACUUUGUGCGUCUGUGGCAGUAGUGGUUUUCAGGUCGCCCUUGAAGAAGCAGAAGGCCCUGCAUGUGGUCAGCGCUGGACACCCCUGAUGGGAUCCAGUGGAAACUUCCCGCCUGUGCUCUCGCUGAUGUCCGAGGGGAUGCACAGAGGACAUCUCUGUGGAAGAGCCCUCAGAAGGAGGACACCCCCUCUGUGGUGACGCUGGCAGGCAUUUUUGGGUGUGGGUCCCCAUUCUGUCUAAGUUGCUUCAUGACCCUGGACAUGUUACCUGAAUGUGGCCUUGACCUGAAGCUAGACGAAGGUUCUUGAACUCUUUUGUGUCGUGGACCUCAUCGAUAGUGGGGGAGGCAUGUGGAUCCCUUCUCAGAACGUUUUAAUGUUUAAUGUUUUAAAUGCAGAAAAUGAAAACCACAGGAUUUCAAAGGAAAUCAAUUAUACUCAAGACAAUUAUUAAAAUGUGUGGCUCAGAAAUAUUUCUUCAUUAACACAUUAUAUAAGUAAUCAUAUCUGGUGAUCGGCAAAAUACCUACUAUAAUUCCAAGUAUUGAUGAGAGUAAAACUAUAUUUCAAGUUUUCUACACAACUGUACUGUGAUUUGAAAAUGCCAGUGAUUUCUAUUGUGAUCGUCACGGAUGCUGCUCAUUCUACUGUGACUUGUUGCCCAUGUUCAUGACUGAAGGAACUAUUUAGUUUCAGUUGGAGAGUAAUGAAAAUCAAGACGCAAUUUUCCCCAUCAUUUAAGUUCCAGGCAAAAUGUCCCCUAAUGUAGUCCCUGAUUCAGCAAGUAUUUAUGAAGAAUCCACUAUGCGCCAGGCGUCGUCCCAGCAUAGACAGUGUCUGCCCUCAUUGAGUUUUCAUUCUUGCUGUGAGUCAGAUGACAAACAAACAAAUAAAUACG